CUGCGCAGCCGCGAUCCCGGAGGGAGCGCUCCCCGGCCCCGCGCGCAGCCCGCCCCUUGCGCGCUCCGGCUCCGCGCGCCUGCCCGGCGCGGGAGGGUGGCCGGGCCCUACCGGCCCCAGCGGCCGCGGCUUCCCGUGGUGGCGGACCAGUGUGCGGCCGCCGCCAGCCAGGCCGCGCUAGGAAAGCUCGCCUACCCCCGGGACCGUGGGUGCGCACAGGCCGACAGGAGCGCCUAUUCGCUUGUCAUUCCCCCAACGAUAAGUUUGACGUCGCCUCCUUAGGCUCCCAUCCUGAGCAGGCUUCACCAGAAACAAAGAACAGAGGAGGAAAUACACAGUGUAUUGAGUGCUAGCAGUGAAAGGCCAGAGUUCUGACAGUAAGUGUUAUAUUCUGUUUAAUCCCAGGUUUAGCAGAGGUAGUUGCUAGACAUUUAAAAUGGAGGAUUAUAUUUUAUGAAUGGGAGAAUUGAAUAAAAAAAUUGAAAAAGAAUACAGUCAAGAAUUCCAGAGUAAGUGCUAGGUGCCCAGGACACCACUGCAAACUCAUGGAGGUUCUGUGGUGUAGGUUAAAUGCCAAGGGUGAUGCUUGACAUCUGUUGGCCAUCAGGUGAACUACUUGGUCAAAGUUGUUCAGGGUUUCAACAUU
Molecule: long non-coding RNA, 646 nt
Filed under: Ovis aries (sheep)
Lineage: Eukaryota; Metazoa; Chordata; Mammalia; Artiodactyla; Bovidae
Description: lncRNA (ENSOARG00000025992.1)
Source: RNAcentral